RNAcentral lists this ribosomal RNA (468 nucleotides) under uncultured bacterium. Its description in RNAcentral is "partial 16S ribosomal RNA". It matches the Rfam family "Bacterial small subunit ribosomal RNA", at positions 28 to 507 of the family's 1533-position model. The record is from RNAcentral.
GACGAACGCUGGCGGCGUGCUUAACACAUGCAAGUCGAACGGAAAGGCCCUGCUUUUGUGGGGUGCUCGAGUGGCGAACGGAUGAGUAACACAUGAGUAACCUGCCCUUGACUUUGGGAUAACUUAAGGGAACGGGGGCUAAUACCGGAUAGGAGCUCCUGCUGCAUGGUGGGGAUGGGAAAGGGUCGGCGGUUGGGGCUGUACUCGCGGCUUAUCCGCUUGUUGGGGGGGUAGUGGCUUACCAAGGCUUUGACGGGUAGCCGGCCUGAGAGGGUGACCGGCCACAUGGGGACUGCGAGACGGCGCAGAAUCGUACGGGAGGCAGCAGUGGGGAAUAUUGCACAGCGGGGGGACGCCUGAUGCAGUGACGCCGCGUGCGUGAUGACGGCCUUUGGGUGGUGAACCGCUUUCGCCUGUGAUGAAGCGUGAUUGACGGUAAUGGGUAAAGAAGCACCGGCUAACUACGUG